RNAcentral lists this ribosomal RNA (253 nucleotides) under uncultured bacterium. RNAcentral describes it as "partial 16S ribosomal RNA". It matches the Rfam family "Bacterial small subunit ribosomal RNA", at positions 524 to 776 of the family's 1533-position model. The record is from RNAcentral.
UACGAAGGGGGCUAGCGUUGCUCGGAAUCACUGGGCGUAAAGCGCACGUAGGCGGAUCUUUAAGUCGGGGGUGAAAUCCUGGAGCUCAACUCCAGAACUGCCUUCGAUACUGAGGGUCUCGAGUCCGGGAGAGGUGAGUGGAACUCCGAGUGUAGAGGUGAAAUUCGUAGAUAUUCGGAAGAACACCAGUGGCGAAGGCGGCUCACUGGCCCGGUACUGGCGCUGAGGCGCGAAAGCGUGGGGAGCAAACAGG